UACGGAGGGUGCAAGCGUUAUCCGGAUUUACUGGGUUUAAAGGGUGCGUAGGUGGGUAGGUAAGUCAGUGGUGAAAUCUUCAAGCUUAACUUGGAAACUGCCAUUGAUACUAUUUAUCUUGAAUACUUUGGAGGUAAGCGGAAUAUGUCAUGUAGCGGUGAAAUGCUUAGAUAUGACAUAGAACACCAAUUGCGAAGGCAGCUGGCUACACAAAUAUUGACACUGAGGCACGAAAGCGUGGGGAUCAAACAGG
This 253-nucleotide ribosomal RNA is filed under the name uncultured bacterium. RNAcentral describes it as "partial 16S ribosomal RNA". It matches the Rfam family "Bacterial small subunit ribosomal RNA", at positions 524 to 776 of the family's 1533-position model. The record is from RNAcentral.